GAUGAACGCUGGCGGCGUGCUUAACACAUGCAAGUCGAACGGUGAAGGCGGAGCUUGCUCUGCUGGAUCAGUGGCGAACGGGUGAGUAACACGUGAGCAAUCUGCCCCUGACUCUGGGAUAAGCGCUGGAAACGGCGUCUAAUACUGGAUACGAGCUGCGAAGGCAUCUUCAGCAGCUGGAAAGAAUUUCGGUCAGGGAUGAGCUCGCGGCCUAUCAGCUUGUUGGUGAGGUAAUGGCUCACCAAGGCGUCGACGGGUAGCCGGCCUGAGAGGGUGACCGGCCACACUGGGACUGAGACACGGCCCAGACUCCUACGGGAGGCAGCAGUGGGGAAUAUUGCACAAUGGGCGAAAGCCUGAUGCAGCAACGCCGCGUGAGGGACGACGGCCCUCGGGUUGUAAACCUCUUCUAGCAGGGAAGAAGCGAAAGUGACGGUACCUGCAGAAAAAGCGCCGGCUAACUACGUG
RNAcentral lists this ribosomal RNA (468 nucleotides) under uncultured bacterium. RNAcentral describes it as "partial 16S ribosomal RNA". It matches the Rfam family "Bacterial small subunit ribosomal RNA", at positions 28 to 507 of the family's 1533-position model. The record is from RNAcentral.